UUUCCACGCCCCCAUCCCCCCUCGGCCGCCGGAGCGUUGCUGUCGCAGGAGCGCGCGGGAAAAGGGUGGAAGAGAACAGCCAGUCUCCGCUUCAUCCGCAGGCUGCAAGGGACCAACAACAACACUGCUUCUUGGCAGGGAUCUGAGGCAAAACAUGCACAUCUCCGGCUAUAAUCAGAGUGACGGUCUAGGAUGGAGUUUCAAGGCCAUUUGCCAAACAAAGCAGGUUCAGUGCAUAAUCCCUGUGUUUAACUUUCUGGUUAGCCUACUUUAAGUGGAGGUUUUGGGCCUCUGUGUAUAAAUUGCUUAAUAUUUGAAAUGUUCCUUUGUGGCAAGUCUCAGCCCACGAGUAUCAGAUAGCAAAAUAAAUGAAAUAAUAAAAUGGAAGCUGUAGGACUUCUAAGGCCACUUGCUAUAGCUGCAAAGAAUCAAACUGAGUGACCUAUACCAGGAAUAGAGACAGUGGAUGUCCACAAAUAGCAGAGGUGCGGGUAAUGGAAAUGCUAAGAGAGUGGGUAGACUAAAGGACACAACAUUUUUAGGAAUGGAUGCCCGCCUUAGCUGGAGUGAAACAAGUUCAAUAUUUUUUCUUUAGAUAAGAUGCUUGUGUCCUCUGCAGUGUAAAAGGAAAAGGAUUUUGAAUCAACUGCACUUCAAUUUGAGGGUACUAGUAGUUCUUUUCCCAUUAUACUUGUUAAUUAGUCAACUAAGUAUAUAAUCCCCAAGGUAAAAAUAGGACACUUACCCACAGCUACAAAGACAUUUUCAAGAUCACCUGACAUCUCAGAUUUAAUGCUGUCUAUGAUAUCCUUAUCUGUGACCCUUUGGUAUUCAUCAAAGACUGGAAAAAGAAAGCACAAGUGGAAAACCGAAGUGAGACUUUCAAAUGCAAUACACAAAAAAUAUUACCCCCAAGGAUUAGUUUGCCAGAAUACCCAGCUGAAUACCUAGUGUACACUUCACUUUAUUUAGUUUGAAAACUCCACUGGAGAUAAUAGUAUAAAAAUUAAUUCAUUUGAUCUUAAGGUUGGGUAUAUAAUCUUUGAGAAUUGGCCGAUCAAUAACAGCUGGAAAUACUGCUGUGAAUUAUUAAUGGUGACAGGGGUUGCUUAGGACUUGUUCACAGCCUUCCACAACAAUUAUUCCACCUUAACUCACUAUGUGAAUAGUCCUGAAUCAGUAAAGGUCUGAAUUGUCUCAAUUCCUUUGCCAAGUAAGUUAAUAGUCCAUCUAUAAGGAAUGGAGUCCAGAAUAAAUAAAUAAAGCAGCCCAUCCAAUGCAAACUAAACAGCUUGCAAUGCAGGCACUUGUGGAUGGUAUUCCAAAUAGCAGAAAUAUGGAAUGAAAAGGGUACUGCUACCUGCAAUGGUACAAGUAGUGCACAAGUGAAGAUGGCCCCAUUUGGGACAUCUCUUCAGAAUUUCUGCUAACAGGCUACUGCACAUUUCUCAGCAAACUGAGAGAGAAACUGAAGAGUAGAGGCACAGUCUGUUGUACUGUAGUGGCCGAUGAAGCAUCAUUACAGCUCAGCACCACACACAGACAAGUGAGCACAGAGUAAAGAUAACUGGUACCAUUCAGCUUCUUCUUUCUGCACAGUUAUAGUGGAAUCUUACUCCAGAAUAAAGAGCAUCCAUUUAAGAAAUCCUCCCAGAGCUCAUCUCUCUUUCAGCUCACGUUCUACCUCAAAUCAGGAUUCAUUUUCUCGAUGACAGGUCCUUAUUUUUCCUUUUUGGGAUCACAUUCUGCCACAAGAGGGAGCUUUAUUCCCAUCAGCACUUAGAGUCCACCAGCUCUACAGGAGCCAUUAUCAAGUUCAUACAGGAUGCAGUUGGAAAACAUCUAAGUUAACUGAUAAGAGCUUGUACUUGGGUCUCUGAAGAAGAAUUUUGCCAAGAAACUUGCUCCUACACUCUGUUGCUUGCUAACUGUGGCUACCAGAGCCUUAUCUAUCUCUGGCUUAAAGCCUAGCAUGCAAGUUAUUUUGACAGGUGCAGAUCUCCUCUCUCAGCAGUUUCUUUUGGGCUCAGAAGGGCAGGCACUGAAUGAAAAUGGUUUGAAGCAGACAUGUCCCCUUGGAACUGGGUCUCGGCUGCACUUUGGGAAAGGUGAGUUCUGUUCCUUGUACAGAGGAUAGAUAGGAAUUGUUCCUCAUCGGUUCCAAAUUUCUUCUCCCCGGCAUGGUAGAGGCACUAGAAAGCAGCAAGACCAUAGCAUAAUGUGGAAGGUAAAACUAAUGUCCAGAAAGACUAUGAGCUCAGCAAAUACCAGAAGGAGGAACCAUAUCCUCUAAGAAAAAUCCAGAUUACUACAGACCUGGGCA
Molecule: long non-coding RNA, 2323 nt
Organism: Alligator mississippiensis (American alligator)
Lineage: Eukaryota; Metazoa; Chordata; Crocodylia; Alligatoridae
Exons: 5
Source: RefSeq, a predicted model, not a curated record